Molecule: ribosomal RNA, 489 nt
Filed under: uncultured bacterium
Lineage: Bacteria
Description: bacterial SSU rRNA
Rfam family: Bacterial small subunit ribosomal RNA
Source: RNAcentral
AGGACGAACGCUGGCGGCGUAGCUUAACACGAUGGCAAGUCGAACGAGGAUAAUGGAAGCUUGCUUUGAUAUCGAGUGGCGGACGGGUGAGUAACGCGUGAAUAAUCUGUACUCACGACAGGGGGGAUAACGCAUCGAAAGAUGUGCUAAUACCGCGUAGGACCACGAUGUCGCAUGGCAUUGAGGUGAAAGGAGCAAUCCAGUGUGAGGUGAGUUCGCGUCUGAUUAGGAUAGUUGGUGCGGUAACGGCGCACCAAGUCAACGAUCAGUAGCCGACCUGAGAGGGUGAUCGGCCACAUUGGGACUGAGACACGGCCCAGACUCCUACGGGAGGCAGCAGUGGGGAACAUUGGGCAAUGGGCGAAAGCCCUGACCCAGCAACGCCGCGUGAAGGAAGAAGGUUUUCGGAUCGUAAACCUCUGUCCUUGGUGAAGAGGAAGAGACGGUAGCCAAGGAGGAAGCCCCGGCUAACUACGUGCCAGCAGCCGC